Molecule: ribosomal RNA, 333 nt
Filed under: uncultured Hespellia sp.
Lineage: Bacteria; Bacillati; Bacillota; Clostridia; Lachnospirales; Lachnospiraceae
Description: bacterial SSU rRNA
Rfam family: Bacterial small subunit ribosomal RNA
Source: RNAcentral
GGGGGAAUAUUGCACAAUGGGGGGAAACUCUGAUCCAGUGACGCCGCGUGAAGGAAGAAGGUCUUCGGAUUGUAAACUUAUUUUAUCUGGGAAGAAAAAUGACUGUACCAGAGGAAGAAGCACCGGCUAACUACGUGCCAGCAGCCGCGGUAAUACGUAGGGUGCAAGCGUUAUCCGGAUUUACUGGGUGUAAAGGGCGAGUAGACGGUACUGCAAGUCAGAUGUGAAAUGCUAGAGCUCAACUUUAGAACUGCAUCUGAAACUGUAGAACUAGAGUGCAGGAGAGGUAAGCGGAAUUCCUAGUGUAGCGGUGAAAUGCGUAGGAUUAGUAGG